AUCCUCAUCUACUACUUUGUCACAAAUAAAUUUAGCUUUGCCUUGAUCAUCUUUUCGAUAUUGUGGCAAUUGAUAACUCAUAAUCAUUGCUUUUAAAGCACGCCUGAUGAGUUUAAAUUUUUUAAGCUUCACAAUAAUAGAAGCAAAACAAGUGUUAGCAACUGAAAGCAGCUUCAAAGGGCUAACUUGAUUGUAAAGUGCAA
RNAcentral lists this unclassified non-coding RNA (203 nucleotides) under Hevea brasiliensis (rubber tree). Lineage: Eukaryota; Viridiplantae; Streptophyta; Magnoliopsida; Malpighiales; Euphorbiaceae. The record is from RNAcentral.